Phascolarctobacterium sp. CAG:207 is the source of this 120-nucleotide non-coding RNA. The record is from Rfam. Lineage: Bacteria; Bacillati; Bacillota; Negativicutes; Acidaminococcales; Acidaminococcaceae.
GGUAGCCUUUGGGGCAGGGUGUGAUUCCCUACCGGCGGUUAUAGUCCGCGAGCUUCUUUGUGAGCAUGAUCCGGUGUGAUUCCGGUACCGACAGUAUAGUCUGGAUGAGAAAAGGCGGCU